GAUGAAGAACGCAGCGAAAUGCGAUAAGUAAUGAGAAUUGCAGAAUUCAGUGAAUCGUCGAAUCUUUGAACGCACAUUGCGCCCGCCAGCAUUCUGGCGGGCAUGCCUGUUCGAGCGUCAUUUCAACCCUCGAGCCCCCCCGGGGGCCUCGGUGUUGGGGGACGGCACACCAGCCGCCCCCGAAAUGCAGUGGCGACCCCGCCGCAGCCUCCCCUGCGUAGUAGCACACACCUCGCACCGGAGCGCGGAGGCGGUCACGCCGUAAAACGCCCAACUUUCUUAGAGUUGACCUCGGAUCAGGUAGGAAUACCCGCUGAACUUAAGCAUAUCAAUAAGCGGAGGA
This 343-nucleotide unclassified non-coding RNA is filed under the name soil metagenome. Its description in RNAcentral is "partial contains 5.8S ribosomal RNA, internal transcribed spacer 2, and large subunit ribosomal RNA". The stretch from base 1 to 120 matches the Rfam family "5.8S ribosomal RNA", at positions 35 to 154 of the family's 154-position model. The record is from RNAcentral.